GCCAGACUCCUACGGGAGGCAGCAGUGGGGAAUAUUGGGCAAUGGGCGCAAGCCUGACCCAGCAACGCCGCGUGAAGGAAGAAGGCUUUCGGGUUGUAAACUUCUUUUAAGAGGGAAGAGUAGAAGACGGUACCUCCUGAAUAAGCCACGGCUAACUACGUGCCAGCAGCCGCGGUAAUACGUAGGUGGCAAGCGUUGUCCGGAUUUACUGGGUGUAAAGGGCGUGUAGCCGGGCCGGCAAGUCAGAUGUGAAAUCCCGAGGCUCAGCCUUGGAACUGCAUUUGAAACUGUUGGUCUUGAGUAUCGGAGAGGCAGGCGGAAUUCCUAGUGUAGCGGUGAAAUGCGUAGAUAUUAGGAGGAACACCAGUGGCGAAGGCGGCCUGCUGGACGACAACUGACGGUGAGGCGCGAAAGCGUGGGGAGCAAACAGGAUUAGAUACCCGCGUA
Molecule: ribosomal RNA, 447 nt
Filed under: uncultured bacterium
Lineage: Bacteria
Description: partial 16S ribosomal RNA
Rfam family: Bacterial small subunit ribosomal RNA
Source: RNAcentral